Molecule: unclassified non-coding RNA, 232 nt
Filed under: Hevea brasiliensis (rubber tree)
Lineage: Eukaryota; Viridiplantae; Streptophyta; Magnoliopsida; Malpighiales; Euphorbiaceae
Source: RNAcentral
GAUUUUAACUUCAUGUGUUGAGGAUAUGAUGGAUAGAAUUAUGAGGCCGCUCCUGUGCCGUAUAGGGUCACGUGGACGGCUGUGAUCUGUCUGUUUGAGCUCGAUUUGACUAGAAAAGAAAGCCCGAAGGAGUUGGUUGGUGUGGCCGUCAUUGCAAUUAUUUUAUUUUGAUGUCUCAGCCAAAUAAGGAAACACAACAUUAAUUUGCUUUCACACGCGCGACCAAGCCAAU